AAUCAACGCUGGCGGCGUGCCUAACACAUGCAAGUCGAACGCGAAAGGGGCUUCGGCCCUGAGUAGAGUGGCGAACGGGUGAGUAACACGUGGGUGAUCUACCUUCGAGUGGGGGAUAACGUCCCGAAAGGGACGCUAAUACCGCAUGACGUUCUGGGUUUAAAGACCUGGAAACCAAAGCCGGGGACCGCAAGGCCUGGCGCUUGAAGAGGAGCCCGCGUCCGAUUAGCUAGUUGGCGGGGUAACGGCCCACCAAGGCGACGAUCGGUAGCCGGCCUGAGAGGGCGGACGGCCACACUGGGACUGAGUCACGGCCCAGACUCCUACGGGAGGCAGCAGUGGGGAAUUGUUCACAAUGGGCGCAAGCCUGAUGACGCAACGCCGCGUGGGGGAUGAAGGUCUUCGGAUUGUAAACCCCUGUCGAAUGGGACGAAAGACUCGCGAGUUAACACUGCGCGAGAGUGACGGUACCGUUAAAGGAAGCCACGGCUAACUCUGUGC
RNAcentral lists this ribosomal RNA (501 nucleotides) under uncultured bacterium. RNAcentral describes it as "bacterial SSU rRNA". It matches the Rfam family "Bacterial small subunit ribosomal RNA", at positions 29 to 508 of the family's 1533-position model. The record is from RNAcentral.